RNAcentral lists this ribosomal RNA (467 nucleotides) under uncultured bacterium. Its description in RNAcentral is "partial 16S ribosomal RNA". It matches the Rfam family "Bacterial small subunit ribosomal RNA", at positions 28 to 507 of the family's 1533-position model. The record is from RNAcentral.
GACGAACGCUGGCGGCGUGCUUAACACAUGCAAGUCGAACGGAAAGGCCCUGCUUUUGUGGGGUGCUCGAGUGGCGAACGGGUGAGUAACACGUGAGUAACCUGCCCUUGACUUUGGGAUAACUUCAGGAAACUGGGGCUAAUACCGGAUAGGAGCUCCUGCUGCAUGGUGGGGGUUGGAAAGUUUCGGCGGUUGGGGAUGGACUCGCGGCUUAUCAGCUUGUUGGUGGGGUAGUGGCUUACCAAGGCUUUGACGGGUAGCCGGCCUGAGAGGGUGACCGGCAAAAUGGGGACUGGGAAAGGGCCAAGACCCCAACGGAAGGAAGCAGUGGGGAUAUUGCACAAUGGGCGGAAGCCUGAUGCAGCAACGCCGCGUGCGGGAUGACGGCCUUCGGGUUGUAAACCGCUUUCGCCUGUGACGAAGCGUGAGUGACGGUAAUGGGUAAAGAAGCACCGGCUAACUACGUG